This 187-nucleotide ribosomal RNA is filed under the name uncultured bacterium. RNAcentral's name for it is "partial 16S ribosomal RNA". It matches the Rfam family "Bacterial small subunit ribosomal RNA", at positions 1313 to 1500 of the family's 1533-position model. The record is from RNAcentral.
CGCCUUCAUGAAGCUGGAAUUGCUAGUAAUGGCAGGUCAGCAUACUGCCGUGAAUACGUUCCCGGGCCUUGUACACACCGCCCGUCACACCAUGAGAGUUGGGAAUACCCGAAGCCUGUGAGCUAACUUAUAGAGGCAGCAGUCGAAGGUAGAAUCAAUGAUUGGGGUGAAGUCGUAACAAGGUAAC